CGAGCACGCGCGUGUGGCAUAUCAAUAAGCGGAGGAAAAGAAACUAACAAGGAUUCCCCUAGUAACGGCGAGUGAAGCGGGAAGAGCUCAAAUUUGAAAUCUUCAAGGUUUGACCUUGACGAAUUGUAGUUUAAAGAAGUGUUUUCGGUUAGAGGAGUGGUAAAAGUUCUUUGGAAUAGGACAUCAUAGAGGGUGAGAAUCCCGUAUUUGAUCAUUCUUUCUAGCUUUGUGAUACACUUUCAACGAGUCGGAUUGUUUGGGAAUGCAGUCCAAAAUGGGUGGUAAAUUUCAUCUAAAGCUAAAUAUUGGCGAGAGACCGAUAGCGAACAAGUACCGUGAGGGAAAGAUGAAAAGAACUUUGAAAAGAGAGUUAAACAGUACGUGAAAUUGUCAAAAGGGAAGCGUUUGACACCAGUGUUGUUUUUCCGAAAAUCAAUUACGAAUGUUUUGUUUUUAAGGAGUUAUGACUUCAUCGGCUUGCUCCUUUCUUUACUGAAACUUUCUUAAUGCACUUUUCGGUUAACAAGUCAACAUCAAUUUCUUUUGUUGUAAAAGGGUAUGAGGAAGGUGGCUUUCUUUUCGGAGAAAGUGUUUAUAGCCUUGUGCCUCUGCAAUCGGAGAGAUUGAGGUCUGCAGCGUAGAUCCUUCGGGGUUAGAUACGUUUGUGCUAAGUUAUAGCUUUUCAUAGACAACUUGUUGACUAUGUUUAGUCUUGUAGCUUACUCGCUGACGCUAUUUUACCUACGCUUAGGAUGUUGAACUCUAUCACACACAG
Molecule: ribosomal RNA, 775 nt
Filed under: uncultured Neocallimastigales
Lineage: Eukaryota; Fungi; Neocallimastigomycota; Neocallimastigomycetes; Neocallimastigales
Description: partial large subunit ribosomal RNA
Rfam family: Eukaryotic large subunit ribosomal RNA
Source: RNAcentral